This 64-nucleotide non-coding RNA is filed under the name Sus scrofa (pig). Lineage: Eukaryota; Metazoa; Chordata; Mammalia; Artiodactyla; Suidae. The record is from RNAcentral.
CCACCUGCCACAGGGCCUUGGCUGCCUCUUCCCUUGACUGUCACGGACCCUUUGGCAGAUGAGU